RNAcentral lists this ribosomal RNA (508 nucleotides) under Glomus sp. Glo3. Its description in RNAcentral is "SSU rRNA". It matches the Rfam family "Eukaryotic small subunit ribosomal RNA", at positions 569 to 1078 of the family's 1831-position model. The record is from RNAcentral. Lineage: Eukaryota; Fungi; Glomeromycota; Glomeromycetes; Glomerales; Glomeraceae.
AGCAGCCGCGGUAAUUCCAGCUCCAAUAGCGUAUAUUAAAGUUGUUGCAGUUAAAAAGCUCGUAGUUGAAUUUCGGGGUCAGUAGGUCGGUCGUGCCACUGGUAUGAACUGGUUUUACUGAUUCCUCCCUCUUGAAGAACUGUAAUGCCAUUAAUUUGGUGUUGCAGGGAAUCAGGACUGUUACUUUGAAAAAAUUAGAGUGUUUAAAGCAGGCUUUAGCUUGAAUACAUUAGCAUGGAAUAAUGAAAUAGGACGUUUGAUCCUAUUUUGUUGGUUUCUAGGAUUGACGUAAUGAUUAAUAGGGAUAGUUGGGGGCAUUAGUAUUCAAUUGUCAGAGGUGAAAUUCUUGGAUUUAUUGAAGACUAACUACUGCGAAAGCAUUUGCCAAGGAUGUUUUCAUUAAUCAAGAACGAAAGUUAGGGGAUCGAAGACGAUCAGAUACCGUCGUAGUCUUAACCAUAAACUAUGUCGACUAGGGAUCGGAUGAUGUUAAUUUUUUAAUGACUCA